GCGCGCCGGCCGCCCGCGCGCCGGCCGCCCGUUGCCCUGGCAACCGUCGUGCCGCGUCUUCCUGAGGGAGCUCCUGUCAGCCCACUGAUCCCACCACCCGCUCCCUACUGCCCUGCGGUCUUCGCGUGGGCUCGGAGACUGAGGGACAACAAAAAUGGCGGAGGGGAGCCAGACGGCGCCUGAGGCAGUGUAUUCAUAUCAACCAGUGAAGAAAUGACAAGGAAUUCUAUAACAUUUCACUGCAAUGAUAUGGGAAAUGAUGAUGCCAUCGGAGGGAAUGUGAGCAAAUAUAUAGUGCUUCCAACUGGAUAUUGUGGACAGCCCAAGAAAGGACAUCUUCUCUUUGAUGCUUGCUUUGAAAGUGGUAAGUAUAUUAAAGGCUUUUCCUUUUAAGUUUAUCUGGUAAGACAUUUUUUUUUUCAGAAUUG
Molecule: long non-coding RNA, 428 nt
Filed under: Rhinopithecus bieti (black snub-nosed monkey)
Lineage: Eukaryota; Metazoa; Chordata; Mammalia; Primates; Cercopithecidae
Description: lncRNA (ENSRBIG00000045942.1)
Source: RNAcentral